This 253-nucleotide ribosomal RNA is filed under the name uncultured bacterium. RNAcentral describes it as "partial 16S ribosomal RNA". It matches the Rfam family "Bacterial small subunit ribosomal RNA", at positions 524 to 776 of the family's 1533-position model. The record is from RNAcentral.
GACAGAGGUGCCGAGCGUUAGGCGGAAUCACUGGGCUUAAAGCGUGUGUAGGCGGGUCGUUAAGUGUCUUGUGAAAUCCCACCGCUCAACGGUGGAACCGCUGGGCAUACUGGCGAUCUUGAGCAGUCCAGGGGCGAGCGGAACAAGCGGUGGAGCGGUGAAAUGCGUAGAUAUCGCUUGGAACGCCGACGGUGAAAACAGCUCGCUGGGGAUGUGCCGACGCUGAGACACGAAAGCCAGGGGAGCAAACGGG